Molecule: ribosomal RNA, 89 nt
Filed under: Acinetobacter pittii
Lineage: Bacteria; Pseudomonadati; Pseudomonadota; Gammaproteobacteria; Moraxellales; Moraxellaceae
Description: partial 16S ribosomal RNA
Rfam family: Bacterial small subunit ribosomal RNA
Source: RNAcentral
UUUAACUGAAGAGUUUGAUCAUGGCUCAGAUUGAACGCUGGCGGCAGGCUUAACACAUGCAAGUCGAGCGGAGAGAGGUAGCUUGCUAC